This 517-nucleotide ribosomal RNA is filed under the name Bufo japonicus (Japanese toad). RNAcentral's name for it is "partial 16S ribosomal RNA". It matches the Rfam family "Bacterial large subunit ribosomal RNA", at positions 1836 to 2557 of the family's 2925-position model. Lineage: Eukaryota; Metazoa; Chordata; Amphibia; Anura; Bufonidae. The record is from RNAcentral.
UGAAUUACUAUAAGAGGUCCAGCCUGCCCAGUGACCCUGUUCAACGGCCGCGGUAUCCUAACCGUGCGAAGGUAGCGUAAUCACUUGUUCUCUAAAUGUGGACUAGUAUGAAUGGCAUCACGAAGGUUAUACUGUCUCCUUUUUCUAAUCAGUGAAACUAACCUCCCCGUGAAGAAGCGGGGAUGACGCUAUAAGACGAGAAGACCCUAUGGAGCUUAAAACAAUGCAGCAUCUGCCCCAUAAUACUGAAAUUUCCGAAUUUAAACUUCACUGGACAAUGUGACUGCAAGUUUUUGGUUGGGGUGACCACGGAGCAUAACAUAACCUCCACGCUGAAAGAAUACCUCUAAGCUAAGAACCACAAAUCUAAGCAUCAAUAAAUUGACAUCCAUUGACCCAAUAUACUUGAACAACGAACCAAGUUACCCUAGGGAUAACAGCGCAAUCUACUUCAAAAGCUCCUAUCGACAAGUGGGUUUACGACCUCGAUGUUGGAUCAGGGUUUCCCAGUGGUGCA